This 378-nucleotide ribosomal RNA is filed under the name uncultured bacterium. RNAcentral describes it as "bacterial SSU rRNA". It matches the Rfam family "Bacterial small subunit ribosomal RNA", at positions 362 to 757 of the family's 1533-position model. The record is from RNAcentral.
UAUUGGACAAUGGGCGAAAGCCUGAUCCAGCAAUGCCGCGUGAGUGAUGAAGGCCUUAGGGUUGUAAAGCUCUUUUACCCGGGAUGAUAAUGACAGUACCGGGAGAAUAAGCUCCGGCUAACUCCGUGCCAGCAGCCGCGGUAAUACGGAGGGAGCUAGCGUUGUUCGGAAUUACUGGGCGUAAAGCGCACGUAGGCGGCUUUGUAAGUUAGAGGUGAAAGCCUGGAGCUCAACUCCAGAAUUGCCUUUGAUACUGCAUCGCUUGAAUCCAGGAGAGGUGAGUGGAAUUCCGAGUGUAGAGGUGAAAUUCGUAGAUAUUCGGAAGAACACCAGUGGCGAAGGCGGCUCACUGGACUGGUAUUGACGCUGAGGUGCGAA